GGUUAAGCGACUAAGCGUACACGGUGGAUGCCCUGGCAGUCAGAGGCGAUGAAGGACGUGCUAAUCUGCGAUAAGCGUCGGUAAGGUGAUAUGAACCGUUAUAACCGGCGAUUUCCGAAUGGGGAAACCCAGUGUGAUUCGUCACACUAUCAUUAACUGAAUCCAUAGGUUAAUGAGGCGAACCGGGGGAACUGAAACAUCUAAGUACCCCGAGGAAAAGAAAUCAACCGAGAUUCCCCCAGUAGCGGCGAGCGAACGGGGAGCAGCCCAGAGCCUGAAUCAGUGUGUGUGUUAGUGGAAGCGUCUGGAAAGGCGCGCGAUACAGGGUGACAGCCCCGUACACAAAAAUGCACAUGCUGUGAGACUCGAUGAGUAGGGCGGGACACGUGGUAUCCUGUCUGAAUAUGGGGGGACCAUCCUCCAAGGCUAAAUACUCCUGACUGACCGAUAGUGAACCAGUACCGUGAGGGAAAGGCGAAAAGAACCCCGGCGAGGGGAGUGAAAAAGAACCUGAAACCGUGUACGUACAAGCAGUGGGAGCCUCUUUAUGGGGUGACUGCGUACCUUUUGUAUAAUGGGUCAGCGACUUAUAUUCUGUAGCAAGGUUAACCGAAUAGGGGAGCCGAAGGGAAACCGAGUCUUAACUGGGCGUUAAGUUGCAGGGUAUAGACCCGAAACCCGGUGAUCUAGCCAUGGGCAGGUUGAAGGUUGGGUAACACUAACUGGAGGACCGAACCGACUAAUGUUGAAAAAUUAGCGGAUGACUUGUGGCUGGGGGUGAAAGGCCAAUCAAACCGGGAGAUAGCUGGUUCUCCCCGAAAGCUAUUUAGGUAGCGCCUCGUGAAUUCAUCUCCGGGGGUAGAGCACUGUUUCGGCAAGGGGGUCAUCCCGACUUACCAACCCGAUGCAAACUGCGAAUACCGGAGAAUGUUAUCACGGGAGACACACGGCGGGUGCUAACGUCCGUCGUGAAGAGGGAAACAACCCAGACCGCCAGCUAAGGUCCCAAAGUCAUGGUUAAGUGGGAAACGAUGUGGGAAGGCCCAGACAGCCAGGAUGUUGGCUUAGAAGCAGCCAUCAUUUAAAGAAAGCGUAAUAGCUCACUGGUCGAGUCGGCCUGCGCGGAAGAUGUAACGGGGCUAAACCAUGCACCGAAGCUGCGGCAGCGACGCUUAUGCGUUGUUGGGUAGGGGAGCGUUCUGUAAGCCUGCGAAGGUGUACUGUGAGGUAUGCUGGAGGUAUCAGAAGUGCGAAUGCUGACAUAAGUAACGAUAAAGCGGGUGAAAAGCCCGCUCGCCGGAAGACCAAGGGUUCCUGUCCAACGUUAAUCGGGGCAGGGUGAGUCGACCCCUAAGGCGAGGCCGAAAGGCGUAGUCGAUGGGAAACAGGUUAAUAUUCCUGUACUUGGUGUUACUGCGAAGGGGGGACGGAGAAGGCUAUGUUGGCCGGGCGACGGUUGUCCCGGUUUAAGCGUGUAGGCUGGUUUUCCAGGCAAAUCCGGAAAAUCAAGGCUGAGGCGUGAUGACGAGGCACUACGGUGCUGAAGCAACAAAUGCCCUGCUUCCAGGAAAAGCCUCUAAGCAUCAGGUAACAUCAAAUCGUACCCCAAACCGACACAGGUGGUCAGGUAGAGAAUACCAAGGCGCUUGAGAGAACUCGGGUGAAGGAACUAGGCAAAAUGGUGCCGUAACUUCGGGAGAAGGCACGCUGAUACGUAGGUGAAGCGACUUGCUCGUGGAGCUGAAAUCAGUCGAAGAUACCAGCUGGCUGCAACUGUUUAUUAAAAACACAGCACUGUGCAAACACGAAAGUGGACGUAUACGGUGUGACGCCUGCCCGGUGCCGGAAGGUUAAUUGAUGGGGUUAGCGGUAACGCGAAGCUCUUGAUCGAAGCCCCGGUAAACGGCGGCCGUAACUAUAACGGUCCUAAGGUAGCGAAAUUCCUUGUCGGGUAAGUUCCGACCUGCACGAAUGGCGUAAUGAUGGCCAGGCUGUCUCCACCCGAGACUCAGUGAAAUUGAACUCGCUGUGAAGAUGCAGUGUACCCGCGGCAAGACGGAAAGACCCCGUGAACCUUUACUAUAGCUUGACACUGAACAUUGAGCCUUGAUGUGUAGGAUAGGUGGGAGGCUUUGAAGUGUGGACGCCAGUCUGCAUGGAGCCGACCUUGAAAUACCACCCUUUAAUGUUUGAUGUUCUAACGUUGGCCCCUGAUCGGGGUUGCGGACAGUGUCUGGUGGGUAGUUUGACUGGGGCGGUCUCCUCCUAAAGAGUAACGGAGGAGCACGAAGGUUGGCUAAUCCUGGUCGGACAUCAGGAGGUUAGUGCAAUGGCAUAAGCCAGCUUGACUGCGAGCGUGACGGCGCGAGCAGGUGCGAAAGCAGGUCAUAGUGAUCCGGUGGUUCUGAAUGGAAGGGCCAUCGCUCAACGGAUAAAAGGUACUCCGGGGAUAACAGGCUGAUACCGCCCAAGAGUUCAUAUCGACGGCGGUGUUUGGCACCUCGAUGUCGGCUCAUCACAUCCUGGGGCUGAAGUAGGUCCCAAGGGUAUGGCUGUUCGCCAUUUAAAGUGGUACGCGAGCUGGGUUUAGAACGUCGUGAGACAGUUCGGUCCCUAUCUGCCGUGGGCGCUGGAGAACUGAGGGGGGCUGCUCCUAGUACGAGAGGACCGGAGUGGACGCAUCACUGGUGUUCGGGUUGUCAUGCCAAUGGCACUGCCCGGUAGCUAAAUGCGGAAGAGAUAAGUGCUGAAAGCAUCUAAGCACGAAACUUGCCCCGAGAUGAGUUCUCCCUGACUCCCUGAGAGUCCUGAAGGAACGUUGAAGACGACGACGUUGAUAGGCCGGGUGUGUAAGCGCAGCGAUGCGUUGAGCUAACCGGUACUAAUGAACCGUGAGGCUUAACCUU
Molecule: ribosomal RNA, 2906 nt
Filed under: Escherichia coli
Lineage: Bacteria; Pseudomonadati; Pseudomonadota; Gammaproteobacteria; Enterobacterales; Enterobacteriaceae
Description: 23S ribosomal RNA
Rfam family: Bacterial large subunit ribosomal RNA
Source: RNAcentral